This 252-nucleotide ribosomal RNA is filed under the name uncultured Bacteroidales bacterium. RNAcentral's name for it is "partial 16S ribosomal RNA". It matches the Rfam family "Bacterial small subunit ribosomal RNA", at positions 524 to 776 of the family's 1533-position model. The record is from RNAcentral. Lineage: Bacteria; Pseudomonadati; Bacteroidota; Bacteroidia; Bacteroidales.
UACGUAGGUGGCGAGCGUUAACCGGAAUGAUUGGGCGUAAAGGGUGCGUAGGCGGUCCGGAAAGUCAGCGGUAAAAGCCCGGGGCUCAACCCCGGCCCGCCGUUGAAACUGGCAGUCUCGAGUUGGAGAGAAGUAUGCGGAAUGCGCGGUGUAGCGGUGAAAUGCAUAGAUAUCACGCAGAACCCCGAUUGCGAAGGCAGCAUACCGGCGCUCAACUGACGCUGAGGCACGAAAGUGCGGGUAUCGAACAGG